UUUCAUGUCCCUUGUUUGCUCAAGCACUGCUCCGCUCUUCUCAUCCCCUUUCUCUUCCUUUUUUUUUCCUCUUUAUUUUGUCUGUACCCAGUAGUUUUCCCCAAGCCCUAUAACUAUGUCUAUGUAUAUUGUUGCAGCAAAAUGUAUAAAGGAGACACUCAUUAUUUGCAUCCAUUUAUAUGCUGAUAUAAGUAUUUCAUCCUCAAGUUUCAGAGGGAUGCUGGUGAUUUGGUGAGAAAGAAGCAACUAUUUCUGUGAUUUAAUUUCAACGUGAGCAUUGAAGAGGCUCCCCUUCACCCUUUUACUACUGGUGAUAACUCCAUGUUUCCAAGAACUAAUGGGUUGAAGAACUUAGCACUUGUGAUGGAUUAGUCAAGCAAAAACUAUGAAAAGUUAACUCAUAAGUUGUUGAGUAGAGCCAUGUAUUCUUCAGUCUCUCCAAUGAACACCUUCACUGAUAUCCAAAGCGUGAAGAGAGACACCAGGGAAAAACAUGGACCUAACAAAGGACAAAUGGAAUUAUUAGAAACAUUUUCCAGAAGAACACUACUCUGUGGCCAUUUGAAUCUUUGCUUCUUUCUAGGUUUGACAAUGAGGCUAUCAUAUAAGCUCAAAUGUAAACUGAAAGAGGUUGAAUCAGUCAGGAUAAACCCUAUUGUGCCAUGGUAACAAACAACCUCAAAAUCUCAUUGGCUUAAAAUACAAAGAAUUAUUCUUACUCAUGAUACAUAUCCAUCAAUGAUCUGCAGGGGAUCUGCUCACUGAAGUCACUGAAGUGAACUUGGACUGAUGGAACUGCCACUUUUUGGUUACUGUGUGUAUUAAUCUGUUUUCAUGCUGCUGUUAAAGAUCUGAAACUGGGAACAAAUACAGGUUUAAUUAAGACUUACAGUUCCACAUGGCUGAGGAGGCCUCAGAAUCAUGAUAGAAGGUAAAAGUCACUUCUUACAUGGUGGGAGCAAGAGAAAAAUGAGGAAGAAGCAAAAGUGGAAACCCCUGAUAAACACAUCAGAUCUCGUGAGACUUACUUCACUAUCAUGAGAAUAGCAUGGGAAAGACAGGCCCCUGUGAUUCAGUUACCUCCCCCAGGUCCCUCCCACAAUAUAUGGGAAUUCUGGGAGAUACAAUUCAAGUUGAGAUUUGGUGGGGACAUAGCCAAACCAUAUCAUUUUGCCCCUGGCCCCUCCAAAUCUCAUGUCCUCACCUUUAAAACUAACCAUGCCUUCUGAAUAGUCCUCCAAAGUAUUAACUCGUUUUAGCAUUAAUCUGUAAGUUCACAGCCCAAAGUUUCAUCUGAGACAAGGCAA
RNAcentral lists this long non-coding RNA (1307 nucleotides) under Aotus nancymaae (Ma's night monkey). RNAcentral's name for it is "lncRNA (ENSANAG00000039531.1)". Lineage: Eukaryota; Metazoa; Chordata; Mammalia; Primates; Aotidae. The record is from RNAcentral.